UUGGGUUGGCCAAAAAAAUUUGUUUGGGUUUUUCAUGAGAUAUAAUGGAAAAACCCAAACAAACUUUUUGGCCAACCGAA
RNAcentral lists this microRNA precursor (80 nucleotides) under Ovis aries (sheep). RNAcentral's name for it is "miRNA (ENSOARG00000022262.1)". Lineage: Eukaryota; Metazoa; Chordata; Mammalia; Artiodactyla; Bovidae. The record is from RNAcentral.